GGGGCCAUAGCUCAGCUGGGAGAGCGCUUGACUGGCAGUCAAGAGGUCAGGGGUUCGAUCCCCCUUGGCUCCG
This 73-nucleotide transfer RNA is filed under the name Candidatus Zixiibacteriota bacterium. Its description in RNAcentral is "tRNA-Ala". It matches the Rfam family "tRNA". From Rfam's summary of the family: Transfer RNA (tRNA) molecules are approximately 80 nucleotides in length. The record is from RNAcentral. Lineage: Bacteria; Pseudomonadati; Candidatus Zixiibacteriota.